GUCUGCGUGGCUUAGCUGGUCAGAGCGUCGGUCUCAUAUUGCUUAAUAUGACUGAGUCGUAAGACUUAGAUAUCCGAAGAUCAUGAGUUCGAUCCUCAUCGCGGACA
Transfer RNA from Verticillium longisporum, 107 nucleotides. It matches the Rfam family "tRNA". From Rfam's summary of the family: Transfer RNA (tRNA) molecules are approximately 80 nucleotides in length. Their secondary structure includes four short double-helical elements and three loops (D, anti-codon, and T loops). Further hydrogen bonds mediate the characteristic L-shaped molecular structure. tRNAs have two regions of fundamental functional importance: the anti-codon, which is responsible for specific mRNA codon recognition, and the 3' end, to which the tRNAs corresponding amino acid is attached (by aminoacyl-tRNA synthetases). tRNAs cope with the degeneracy of the genetic code in two manners: having more than one tRNA (with a specific anti-codon) for a particular amino acid; and 'wobble' base-pairing, i.e. permitting non-standard base-pairing at the 3rd anti-codon position. NCBI's taxonomy places the organism in Eukaryota, Fungi, Ascomycota, Sordariomycetes, Glomerellales, Plectosphaerellaceae. The record is from Rfam.